This 783-nucleotide ribosomal RNA is filed under the name uncultured marine bacterium. Its description in RNAcentral is "bacterial SSU rRNA". It matches the Rfam family "Bacterial small subunit ribosomal RNA", at positions 14 to 794 of the family's 1533-position model. The record is from RNAcentral.
UGAUCCUGGCUCAGAUUGAACGCUGGCGGCAGGCCUAACACAUGCAAGUCGAACGGUAACAUUUAUAGCUUGCUAUAAGAUGACGAGUGGCGGACGGGUGAGUAAUGCUUAGGAACUUGCCUUUUGGUGGGGGAUAACAGUUGGAAACGACUGCUAAUACCGCAUAAUGUCUUUGGACCAAAGGGGGCUUCGGCUCUCACCAAGAGAGAGGCCUAAGUGAGAUUAGUUAGUUGGUGGGGUAAAGGCUUACCAAGACGACGAUCUCUAGCUGUUCUGAGAGGAAGAUCAGCCACACUGGGACUGAGACACGGCCCAGACUCCUACGGGAGGCAGCAGUGGGGAAUAUUGCACAAUGGGGGGAACCCUGAUGCAGCCAUGCCGCGUGUGUGAAGAAGGCCUUCGGGUUGUAAAGCACUUUCAGUUGUGAGGAAAGGUUGGUAGCUAAUACCUGCCAGCUGUGACGUUAACAACAGAAGAAGCACCGGCUAACUCCGUGCCAGCAGCCGCGGUAAUACGGAGGGUGCGAGCGUUAAUCGGAAUUACUGGGCGUAAAGCGCACGCAGGCGGUUUGUUAAGCGAGAUGUGAAAGCCCCGGGCUCAACCUGGGAGGGUCAUUUCGAACUGGCAGACUAGAGUUUUGGAGAGGGGAGUGGAAUUCCAGGUGUAGCGGUGAAAUGCGUAGAUAUCUGGAGGAACAUCAGUGGCGAAGGCGACUCCCUGGUCAAAGACUGACGCUCAUGUGCGAAAGUGUGGGUAGCGAACAGGAUUAGAUACCCUGGUAGU